Molecule: ribosomal RNA, 444 nt
Filed under: uncultured bacterium
Lineage: Bacteria
Description: SSU rRNA
Rfam family: Bacterial small subunit ribosomal RNA
Source: RNAcentral
AGAGCGAACGCUGGCGGCAGGCCUAACACAUGCAAGUCGAGCGCCCCGCAAGGGGAGCGGCAGACGGGAGAGUAACACGUGGGAACGUACCCUUUGGUUCGGAACAACACAGGGAAACUUGUGCUAAUACCGGAUAAGCCCUUACGGGGAAAGAUUUAUUGCCAAAGGAUCGGCCCGCGUCUGAUUAGCUUGUUGGUGAGGUAACGGCUCACCAAGGCUACGAUCAGUAGCUGGUCUGAGAGGAUGAUCAGCCUCACUGGGACUGAGACACGGCCCAGACUCCUACGGGAGGCAGCAGUGGGGAAUAUUGGACAAUGGGCGCAAGCCUGAUCCAGCCAUGCCGCGUGGAUGAUGAAGGCCCUAGGGUUGUAAAGUCCUUUCGACGGGGAAGAUAAUGACGGUACCCGUAGAAUAAGCCCCGGCUAACUUCGUGCCAGCAGCCGC